UACGAAGGGGGCUAGCGUUGCUCGGAAUUACUGGGCGUAAAGGGCGCGUAGGCGGCCGAUCAAAGUCAGGCGUGAAAUUCCCGGGCUCAACCUGGGGGCUGCGUUUGAUACGUGCAGACUUGAGUGAGGAAGAGGGUUGUGGAAUUCCCAGUGUAGAGGUGAAAUUCGUAGAUAUUGGGAAGAACACCGGUGGCGAAGGCGGCAACCUGGUCCUUUACUGACGCUGAGGCGCGAAAGCGUGGGGAGCGAAACAGGAUUGAG
This 261-nucleotide ribosomal RNA is filed under the name uncultured bacterium. RNAcentral describes it as "partial 16S ribosomal RNA". It matches the Rfam family "Bacterial small subunit ribosomal RNA", at positions 524 to 782 of the family's 1533-position model. The record is from RNAcentral.